UUUGCAAUGCUAGGGACCGAAGGUCUCCAUCUGCAGAACAGCUCUAUCCUGGGUAGUGGCAACAUCUGCUUCCCCAAUGCCACCCUCCCCAGGGGAUCCCAUCCUGAGCUGGAGGCAGCACCUAGAGGUUAGGUGGGGGUUCAGUCUCCAUGGCUCAUCCAGUCCUUGACCUGU
Molecule: unclassified non-coding RNA, 174 nt
Organism: Chelonoidis abingdonii (Abingdon island giant tortoise)
Lineage: Eukaryota; Metazoa; Chordata; Testudines; Testudinidae
Source: Ensembl